This is a long non-coding RNA of Cicer arietinum (chickpea), 446 nucleotides long. RefSeq lists it as uncharacterized. The record is from RefSeq and is a predicted model, not a curated record. NCBI's taxonomy places the organism in Eukaryota, Viridiplantae, Streptophyta, Magnoliopsida, Fabales, Fabaceae.
CAAAGUCAGGGUACAUAAUUGAUUGUGUUAAUAUUAACAAACAACCGGCUUUUGAUCAUCCUUUGCUAAAGAACCAUAAAUUACAGCAUAUACCAAGUAGUCAAAGAAACGUGAGUGAAACAAAUGUCCAUAUUUCACCAACCAAAUCCAAUUUCGAGAUUGAGAAAGUUAGAUGUCCAAAAGAAACUGUCCCUAUUCGGAGGGUAACCAAAGAUGAUCUCAUCGGAGGCAUAUCUUUAUUCAAUGAUCAUAUUCUAGAUCAAACUAGUUAUCAUAGACAUUCUACACAUGUAUCUUCUAUAAAUUUGCAUGCUCCUUACUUUGGAGUUACUGGAACAGCUAGUGUUUAUAAUCCAAAAGUUUUUAAGGGCCAAUCAAGUUCAGGUCAUAUAUAUGUUCAAAAUGGUCAGGGAGAUAGUACUAAUAAAAUCGUUGUUGGAUGGCAU